GUACUGCUGAUGGGUUCCAAAAUAAGACGAAACAACUGUCCAGUAC
Non-coding RNA from Trichobilharzia regenti, 46 nucleotides. Lineage: Eukaryota; Metazoa; Platyhelminthes; Trematoda; Strigeidida; Schistosomatidae. The record is from Rfam.